AGAGAGAAAGGAUCUCCUCAGGACCUCAGACUGGCCUCACAGAAGCCACCCUUUCCUGGAGUCAUGCAACAGGU
Molecule: small nucleolar RNA, 74 nt
Organism: Panthera pardus (leopard)
Lineage: Eukaryota; Metazoa; Chordata; Mammalia; Carnivora; Felidae
Source: Ensembl